RNAcentral lists this non-coding RNA (20 nucleotides) under Arabidopsis thaliana (thale cress). Lineage: Eukaryota; Viridiplantae; Streptophyta; Magnoliopsida; Brassicales; Brassicaceae. The record is from RNAcentral.
CAUUCUUGAACUUGGUUGAU